UGGCGAACGGGUGAGUAACACGUGAGUAACCUGCCCUUCACUUCGGGAUAACCUCGGGAAAUCGAGGCUAAUACCGGAUAUGAGCUUCUGCCGCAUGGUGGGGGUUGUAAAGAUUUAUCGGUGAGGGAUGGACUCGCGGCCUAUCAGUUUGUUGGUGAGGUAAUGGCUCACCAAGGCGAUGACGGGUAGCCGGCCUGAGAGGGCGACCGGCCACACUGGGACUGAGACACGGCCCAGACUCCUACGGGAGGCAGCAGUGGGGAAUAUUGCACAAUGGGCGAAAGCCUGAUGCAGCGACGCCGCGUGGGGGAUGACGGCCUUCGGGUUGUAAACCCCUUUCAGUAGGGAAGAAGCGAGAGUGACGGUACCUGCAGAAGAAGCGCCGGCUAACUACGUGCCAGCAGCCGCGGUAAUACGUAGGGCGCAAGCGUUGCCCGGAAUUAUUGGGCGUAAA
RNAcentral lists this ribosomal RNA (454 nucleotides) under uncultured bacterium. Its description in RNAcentral is "bacterial SSU rRNA". It matches the Rfam family "Bacterial small subunit ribosomal RNA", at positions 96 to 564 of the family's 1533-position model. The record is from RNAcentral.